This 417-nucleotide ribosomal RNA is filed under the name uncultured bacterium. Its description in RNAcentral is "bacterial SSU rRNA". It matches the Rfam family "Bacterial small subunit ribosomal RNA", at positions 971 to 1390 of the family's 1533-position model. The record is from RNAcentral.
UUACCUGGGUUUGACAUAUGCCGGAAACAUCUGGAGACAGGUGCCCCGCAAGGUCGGUAUACAGGUGGUGCAUGGCUGUCGUCAGCUCGUGUCGUGAGAUGUUGGGUUAAGUCCCGCAACGAGCGCAACCCUCGUUCUAUGUUGCCAGCGGUUCGGCCGGGAACUCAUAGAAGACUGCCGGGGUCAACUCGGAGGAAGGUGGGGAUGACGUCAAGUCAUCAUGCCCCUUAUGUCCAGGGCUUCACGCAUGCUACAAUGGCUGGUACAAAGGGCUGCAAUAUCGCAAGAUGGAGCGAAUCCCAUAAAGCCAGUCUCAGUUCGGAUUGGGGUCUGCAACUCGACCCCAUGAAGUCGGAGUCGCUAGUAAUCGCAGAUCAGCAACGCUGCGGUGAAUACGUUCCCGGGUCUUGUACACAC